Xiphophorus couchianus (Monterrey platyfish) is the source of this 829-nucleotide long non-coding RNA. RefSeq lists it as uncharacterized. The record is from RefSeq and is a predicted model, not a curated record. The transcript is spliced from 3 exons. NCBI's taxonomy places the organism in Eukaryota, Metazoa, Chordata, Actinopteri, Cyprinodontiformes, Poeciliidae.
CCGGUCAUAUCCUUUUUCACUGUUGCUUAGCAACAAAGAAUGAGUAGAACUCAAAAGGGCGAGCGGUCGUCAGCCAGUCAGAAGAAGGUCGGUGGUUUGAUACCAGACUGGAGACUUAAAGUGUUGAAAAGUCCUUAAAGACACAGAGGGUCAUCGACUACUUAGAAGAUCCAUACAUGAAGUGUCCCUCUUGCAGCAAAACAUCUCUACAUCAUGAUGCUGCCAGCACAGUACUUCACAGUGAGGAUGCUGGUCUCAGAUAUUUCUGCCCAUGCAUCCGCUCCUUCUAAGUACAUAAAUGGCAAAAAACCAGGAAUGACUGAAGUCUGGACCCAGUUACUGAGGACACCCCUGUCCCAAGAAGACUCGGGGGAACAAUCACUAGUCCCAUGCCUCAAAGAGCGGACACCACAGAGAGAUGACUAAAACAGGAAGAAAGACAAAGGGUUAAAGCUGGCGCAUUAGGUUGAAAGUAUAUGAAACAAAAAAAGAGUUGCAGCUAGAGAGGUUGGAAGGCAUGUCUGGAGUAGGAAAAAUGAGGACAAAGGGGAACAACUUAUUUCAGAACCCACUGUCCUCUGACAAAAGCAGAGAAUUUCAAAAGUAAAAAAAAAACUGGGAGGGAAAGUGGUAGAGGGACAGAUGUGAUUAGCAAGGUAGCAGUAAAUAGAUAGUAGAAAAAAGCAAAGCCUGACUGCUUUACAUCAUAAGAGCAUACAAAUUAAAACUGUGCUGACUCUACAGAGACAUCAUGACAGACAGCGUCAUGGUGAAUGUGAAGCUGCAGCACGUCCUUAUCCGUCACUCGUGUCAUUUGAGCAAAAGUGAA